This 63-nucleotide transfer RNA is filed under the name Himaloaesalus gaoligongshanus. RNAcentral's name for it is "tRNA-Leu". The record is from RNAcentral. Lineage: Eukaryota; Metazoa; Arthropoda; Insecta; Coleoptera; Lucanidae.
AUUGUUUUGGCAGAUUAGUGUGAUAAAUUUAGGAUUUAUAUAUGUAUAUUUAUACAAGCAAUA